Molecule: ribosomal RNA, 253 nt
Filed under: uncultured bacterium
Lineage: Bacteria
Description: partial 16S ribosomal RNA
Rfam family: Bacterial small subunit ribosomal RNA
Source: RNAcentral
UACGAAGGGGGCGAGCGUUAUUCGGAAUCACUGGGCGUAAAGCGUGCGUAGGCGGUCUUCUAAGUCAGGAGUGAAAGCCCGGGGCUCAACCCCGGAAUUGCUCUUGAAACUGGAAGGCUAGAAUUUGGGAGAGGAUAGCGGAAUUCUCAGUGUAGCAGUGAAAUGCGUAGAUAUUGAGAGGAACACCGGUGGCGUAAGCGGCUAUCUGGACCAACAUUGACGCUGAGGCACGAAAGCGUGGGGAUCAAACGGG